AGUACAGUAACAUUGUUACCCUCACUGUACAUGCUCUAUCCCAUUCAGAAGCUCCAUUCUCCAUCCUCAGUCUGCUCAGUAGUCUACUGGCAGUCUCUCCAUAUCUGCUAGUGUCCAUCGUGCUGGGGGUCAAAUGCUACAGAGCUCACGCUCUGACUAAAAAUGCAUUCUCAGAGGAGUGAGAGUCUAAAGGAAAAUACUGAAGAUGGAAGGACAUUGUUCUGUUUGCUUGAAGUCAUUUCACAUGUGAGAUUGAAUGUUUGAACUCUGCUAACUUACUGCCAGCUGACCACCAGUUUAUAUGAAGCAUCGUGCAGUAAUGUUUUCACUUUUAAGCACAUGUUACUAUUGUGUGUCAUUUAUUCCAAUGUUAGAAUAUUCUCAUUUAUUUUAAUGAUCUUUUACUUUGUUGGACUAGUUUACUUUUUUAUGUUCUAGUUAAAUAAAUAACAACCAUAUAAAUUGUCUUCAUUAUCAUUGCAAUGAUGUCAGAUGAGAUAUUCAGCAGCCAAAGAAACACUAAGUGUAUUUCAUAACAGACUUUAGAUUUUAAGUAAUCAACAACUAGACCACAGAUUAGUGUUUUACACAUUACUUCACACUGACUCUCCUCAGCUUUAAUGUGAAACUGGUAUAGUUCACUGGAUAGUGAAGUCUACCCCUGCUGUAAGAUGGAGAUAUUAGACAUCCAGUGAACAGGCAGGGCUUUACUUCCAUGUGUUGGAAGCAGGAAAAAUUAGCAAGUGUAAGGAUCUGAGAGACUUGAACAAGGACCAAACUGUGAUGACUAGACAGCUGGGUAGAGGGAACAUCUCCAAAAGGGGAAGUUCCAACACACCUCCUUCAGUCUUUACAUUUAUGGCAUUUAGCUGACACUUUUAUCCAAAGCAACUUACAACUAUGACUGAGUACAACUUGAGCAACUGAGGAUUACAGGCCAUCUUCAAGAGCCCCACAGUGGCAACCUCGCAGUGGUGGGGCUUGAACCAGCAGCUUUCUAACGUCCUUGAUUAUGUUAGCAAGUUCUGUGAGUGUUUACGCUCCUUAUGUGAUCUAGCACACAAAACCGUAAACCACUCCCAGUGCCGUACGAAAGCCAGGUAUGAUUUACGAGCUGUUCACUGAUCCUUUCAGGAAGAAGACAAAGUGUUAUCUUUAUUGCCUUUGCCAGGUUCUGCCCUUCACACCAGGUUUGCUGUUCCAUAUAUGGCUAAAUCACAAUUACGUGAUAUGGAUUAUGUGAUACACACACCCGAUCGUAAGAAAAAGUGUAUGUCACAUCAACAUGCUGAAAUGCUGUUUCAUGCUAUGCUUCCACAGAUGAUAAUGGUAGUAUUAGUGCACCUGUUCUACCCCUAGUUGUAGCCCCAUCCCUGCCCCUUUAUCUGAGUAUUUCCCUUAAGUUGAUGGUUUAAGCUUGAAAAUUGUU
Molecule: non-coding RNA, 1429 nt
Organism: Electrophorus electricus (electric eel)
Lineage: Eukaryota; Metazoa; Chordata; Actinopteri; Gymnotiformes; Gymnotidae
Source: RefSeq, a predicted model, not a curated record